This is a long non-coding RNA of Panicum virgatum (switchgrass), 940 nucleotides long. RefSeq lists it as uncharacterized. The transcript has 2 exons. The record is from RefSeq and is a predicted model, not a curated record. NCBI's taxonomy places the organism in Eukaryota, Viridiplantae, Streptophyta, Magnoliopsida, Poales, Poaceae.
CGAGAGCCGCCUCGAGCUCCGGCUCCCUCGACCGAUCGACCUGUAGCCGCUCCCGCGACUCGCAGCCGCACCACCGCACCGCCAUGUGAUGGCCUGACGAGCUCGCCGGCGGCGCUCGUCCAAGCCCAACCGGCAGUUGUGGCUAGGAGUCCCUAGCACCGGAGCUCCUCCAGUCCUCCGCUGUGCGCUCCAAGUUUGGGGGCCGUGCGCUCCGCGCGGGCAAGGAGUGAGUCGGCCGGAGACGCGCGUCUGAGGAACGAGGGGUGGCGGCCGCCCGUCCCGGAGGAUCCCGUCGCUAGGAGAGUGCACACAUGUGGCCAGAGGAAGGGUAAUUACCCUCGUCGUUGCUGACCUCUGCUCCUCCCUCCGGUCGUUUUCGAUGCUCUGGAGGAGCCACGGUGUCCGCGCCAACGCUAAGCAGGCACACGCGAUGGAGCAGGCAAGCAGAGCCCACCCGCUUCGUAGAGCGCAGCCAACCAUUGCUCCUACAGGCGGAGCGGGCGUCAACACCGCCGAUGCCCAGCAGCUGCUCGACGAAAUGCUUUCAAGGAAAGCUGGCUUAUUGAACCAACGCUGGAUCAAGACAUCCCUCGGCUAUGUCUUACUCGCAUUCGAUGAAGAUUACUGCUGCUGCAAAUCGUCUUCUCUAGCUGUUGCUGUUCCUCAAUGCAUGGUGUCACUCUGUCGCAGCUCAGAGAGCAUGGAUACAAAAGACAGGACCUCUUAAGCUCCCAACACAAUCUAUGAUAAAUAUGUAAGGACGAAGACUCUGCAUCUGUACUAUAUAUCAUAACUAAUACUAUAUGACCUCUGAGUUUAUGAGUCCUGAUAGUCAGGUGGAUUUUGAAUGAUUGUUUACCUCAUAUACCAGUAAUCGAUUCUGAAGAAUGUAUAUGUUUCUAACAUACUUUGGAAUAAAUAAAACCUGAACGUUGAUUAA